AACGGGCGGGUGUUGGUCGGCGGGCAAGAAGACCCUUUUGAGCUUGACUCCAAUCCGAUCCUGGGGAUGGGAUCAUCGGUGCAGCAUACAGGGGAGGCCGCUUCCAUGAGAUACCCUGACGUUGUUCACCAUCCCACUCACCGACUUACAUCGGCACACGGUCGGAUGGGGAGUUUGGCUGGGGCGGCGCGCCUGCUAGAUCACACCGCAGGCGUCCUAUGGUAAGCUCAGUGAGGUCGGAAACCUCACGUGGAGCAUAAGGGCAUAAGCUUACUUGACUAGUACCCCCUGUCCCGGUACUUGCCGUGAAAGCGUGGCCUAACGAUCCUUCAACCGCUCCGGUAAUCCGAGCGUGGAGGUGACAGAAAAGUUACCACAGGAUAACUGGCUUGUGGCCGCCAAGCGCCCAUAGCGACGUGGCUUUUUGAUCCUUCGAUGUCGGCUCUUCCUACCGUCCGCAUGCAUCGGUGCGGAAGCGUCGGAUUGUUCACCCGUCUAAGGGAUCGUGAGCUGGGUUUAGACCGUCGUGAGACAGGUUAGUUUUAUCCUACCGACCAUCUCCAUGCGUCCAGUACGUCGGGUCAGUACGAGAGGAACACCCGUCGCGAGCCUCCGAUCUCCCCGGUUGUUUGACUUGACAGUGCCGGUCUGUCGCGCUCGGGGGACUAGCACUGGAACGCCUCUAAGUGUCCAUCCCACCUACUCGCAUGGGUUGAGGGGCUUCCCCUCGAUUCGCCCGGGUUGACGACCCUUUUCUCCGACCUACUGUACGGCGUGGAGCUUCUUGCGACCGCCUGAGGUUUGGUUCGGGUUGGCAUUCCCCCCCGAG
RNAcentral lists this ribosomal RNA (829 nucleotides) under Giardia muris. RNAcentral's name for it is "partial 28S ribosomal RNA". It matches the Rfam family "Eukaryotic large subunit ribosomal RNA", at positions 2378 to 3401 of the family's 3401-position model. Lineage: Eukaryota; Fornicata; Diplomonadida; Hexamitidae. The record is from RNAcentral.